ACGAUACGGCAGCGCCGAAGGAGCCUCGG
This 29-nucleotide non-coding RNA is filed under the name Mus musculus (house mouse). The record is from RNAcentral. Lineage: Eukaryota; Metazoa; Chordata; Mammalia; Rodentia; Muridae.